RNAcentral lists this ribosomal RNA (450 nucleotides) under uncultured Glomeromycotina. RNAcentral's name for it is "SSU rRNA". It matches the Rfam family "Eukaryotic small subunit ribosomal RNA", at positions 569 to 1024 of the family's 1831-position model. Lineage: Eukaryota; Fungi; Glomeromycota. The record is from RNAcentral.
AGCAGCCGCGGUAAUUCCAGCUCCAAUAGCGUAUAUUAAAGUUGUUGCAGUUAAAAAGCUCGUAGUUGAAUUUCGGGGUUAGUAGGUUGGUCAUGCCUCUGGUAUGUACUGGUCUCACUGAUUCCUCCUUCCUGAUGAACCUUAAUGCCAUUAAUUUGGUGUUUUGGGGAAUUUGGACUGUUACUUUGAAAAAUUAGAGUGCUUAAAGCAAGCUAACGCUUGAAUACAUUAGCAUGGAAUAAUGAAAUAGGACGUUCGAUCCUAUUUUGUUGGUUUCUAGGAUUGACGUAAUGAUUAAUAGGGAUAGUUGGGGGCAUUAGUAUUCAAUUGUCAGAGGUGAAAUUCUUGGAUUUAUUGAAGACUAACUACUGCGAAAGCAUUUGCCAAGGAUGUUUUCAUUAAUCAAGAACGAAAGUUAGGGGAUCGAAGACGAUCAGAUACCGUCGUAGU